Molecule: small nucleolar RNA, 132 nt
Filed under: Microtus ochrogaster (prairie vole)
Lineage: Eukaryota; Metazoa; Chordata; Mammalia; Rodentia; Cricetidae
Description: Small nucleolar RNA SNORA33 (ENSMOCG00000004596.1)
Rfam family: Small nucleolar RNA SNORA33
About the family: ACA33 is a member of the H/ACA class of snoRNA that guide the sites of modification of uridines to pseudouridines.
Source: Rfam by way of RNAcentral
GAGCCAGUCAGUAAAUCUGCUUAUCUCAAUGUGCUUCUGCAGAAACUUAGAAAAGGCGGGCAAUAGUGAUGCCAUGUUACAAGCUGUAAAGGACAGCUGAAAUCUUUAAGAUCCCUGAAAAUGGCUGCAGCA